RNAcentral lists this unclassified non-coding RNA (749 nucleotides) under Hevea brasiliensis (rubber tree). The record is from RNAcentral. Lineage: Eukaryota; Viridiplantae; Streptophyta; Magnoliopsida; Malpighiales; Euphorbiaceae.
AUCAUUCAUAAUGGGUGAGAAGAAGAGUAAGAAGAAUGAAGGAGGAGAGAAGAAGAGUAACAGUGGAGAAGUAGUGCAGAAGAAGGAAGGAGGAGAGAAGAAGAACGAUGGAAACUUAACUGUGGUUUUGAAAUCGGAUUUUCAUUGUGAAGGUUGUGUUACUAAAGUUGUUAAAGCGAUUAAAAGCGUUGGAGGUGUGGAGAAAGUUACGUGCGAUGCCGAUUCGAAAAAGUUGACGGUUAUCGGAAAAGUCGAUCCGGUGAUGUUAAAAGAGAAAGUUGAACAGAAAACACACAAAAAUGUUGAACUUGUCUCGCCGGUACCAAAAAAGGACGGCAAAGGAAAAGGAGGCGGCGGUGGAGACUCCGCCGGCGGUGCAGGAGAAGAGAAGAAGAAGCAGAACAAGGAAAAGGACUCAAAGGAGAACAAAGGAGGAGAAGACAAAAAGACCAAAGAGAAAGAGCCUCCAAUCACCACAGCCGUGCUGAAGGUUCAUCUCCAUUGUCAAGGAUGUGUACAGAAAAUCUCUAAAAUUGUCACCAAAUGCAAAGGAUAUAAGGAAAUGAAAAUAGACAAGCAGAAGGAUUUGGUGACAGUUACAGGGUCGAUGAACACGAAAGAGCUGGUGGAGCUGUUGAAGAAACAUUUGAAGAAGGAAGUUGAAAUAGUGCCGCAGAAGAAGGAAGGCGGCGGAGAUAAUAACAAGAAAGAGAAAGGCGGAGAUAAUAAUAAGAAAGAGAAAGGCGGUG